AGUGAACGCUGGCGGCAGGCCUAACACAUGCAAGUCGAGCGGCAGCGCGUCCGACCACCCUCGGGUGGUCGGAUGGCGGCGAGCGGCGGACGGGUGAGGAAUGCAUCGGAAUCUGCCUCGUUGUGGGGGAUAACGUAGGGAAACUUACGCUAAUACCGCAUACGACCUACGGGUGAAAGUGGGGGACCUUCGGGCCUCACGCGAUGAGAUGAGCCGAUGCCGGAUUAGCUAGUUGGCGGGGUAAAGGCCCACCAAGGCGACGAUCCGUAGCUGGUCUGAGAGGAUGAUCAGCCACACUGGAACUGAGACACGGUCCCGACUCCUACGGGGGGCAGCAGUGAGGAAUAUUCGGCAAUGGGGGCAACCCUGACCGAGCAACGCCGCGUGGAGGAUGACGGUUUUCGGAUUGUAAACUCCUUUUCUCAGGGAAGAGCGAGGACGGUACCUGGGGAAUAAGUCACGGCUAACUACGUG
Molecule: ribosomal RNA, 474 nt
Filed under: uncultured bacterium
Lineage: Bacteria
Description: bacterial SSU rRNA
Rfam family: Bacterial small subunit ribosomal RNA
Source: RNAcentral